Molecule: ribosomal RNA, 491 nt
Filed under: uncultured bacterium
Lineage: Bacteria
Description: partial 16S ribosomal RNA
Rfam family: Bacterial small subunit ribosomal RNA
Source: RNAcentral
GAUGGACGCUGGCGGCGUGCCUAAUACAUGCAAGUCGAGCGAACAGACGAGGAGCUUGCUCCUCUGACGUUAGCGGCGGACGGGUGAGUAACACGUGGAUAACCUACCUAUAAGACUGGGAUAACUUCGGGAAACCGGAGCUAAUACCGGAUAAUAUAUUGAACCGCAUGGUUCAAUAGUGAAAGACGGUUUUGCUGUCACUUAUAGAUGGAUCCGCGCCGCAUUAGCUAGUUGGUAAGGUAACGGCUUACCAAGGCAACGAUGCGUAGCCGACCUGAGAGGGUGAUCGGCCACACUGGAACUGAGACACGGUCCAGACUCCUACGGGAGGCAGCAGUAGGGAAUCUUCCGCAAUGGGCGAAAGCCUGACGGAGCAACGCCGCGUGAGUGAUGAAGGUCUUCGGAUCGUAAAACUCUGUUAUUAGGGAAGAACAAAUGUGUAAGUAACUAUGCACGUCUUGACGGUACCUAAUCAGAAAGCCACGGCUAAC